Molecule: transfer RNA, 88 nt
Filed under: bacterium
Lineage: Bacteria
Description: tRNA-Leu
Rfam family: tRNA
About the family: Transfer RNA (tRNA) molecules are approximately 80 nucleotides in length. Their secondary structure includes four short double-helical elements and three loops (D, anti-codon, and T loops).
Source: RNAcentral
GGCUGAGUGGUGGAAUGGUAGACACAAGGGAUUUAAAAUCCCUCGGGCAUUGAGUCCCGUGCGAGUUCAAGUCUCGCCUCGGUCACCA